Lemur catta (Ring-tailed lemur) is the source of this 1856-nucleotide long non-coding RNA. RefSeq lists it as uncharacterized. The transcript has 6 exons. NCBI's taxonomy places the organism in Eukaryota, Metazoa, Chordata, Mammalia, Primates, Lemuridae. The record is from RefSeq and is a predicted model, not a curated record.
CCAUGCUAGGAGCUAUAGUGGAUAUGGAGAUGACCCGGACAGUUCCCUCAAUGUCGUGAUGAACAUACAAACCAAGUGAGGUGGGAGAAUAUAUGGAAACACAAAUGAUGCAAGAGAGGGAAUCCAGGAGAACUUCACAGAGGACACAUUUGAGCUGAUCUUGAAGGACGAGUGGGGUGUCAAGAGGCAGAGAAGGGGGAAUAGUGUCAAGUCCUACCCCAGCUAUGCUGAUGUAUGUGCUUUCCAGCCACACCUCAUCUGAUUCCUUCCCUGUUCCCUGUACUUAGGACUGCACUGCUCAAGACUCCAGCACCUGUGUCGCCUCCUAGUUUUUCCCAAGACAGCCCAGCCUGAAGGAGUAGCUGGGAUAACUUGUGACUUCUGGCUCUCCCCACAAGGAGGAAAUUCAGUUCACCCAGCUGGGGCACCUGGUGAGGAUGCCGGCCGUGUGCUGCCAGGACCCCGUGGACAGUGUCUGCUCCUUGCCUGCUGAGGCCGCUACAGCCUCUACCGUAUCCUCCUGCUGUGAAGGCCUAUGCACAGCCCUCUCUCGUCCCUCCCCUCCAACCUCCCCACGUGCUCCGUUCCAGAAGAGUGAGGGCCUAGAAAUUACCUGAUCACGUCAUUUCCCUGACGUGAGGAGGAAAACGUAAGGGCUAUUGGAAGAAGAAGGCAAGAGUGAAGCCUACAGUGCCAACACCCUCUAUAACAACACCUUUCAGAUUGGCAAGGCGUUUGCAGAGCCCUUCACCCAGAGCCGGCUCUGCGACCUGGUGCUGGAGGCCGUGGAGGGCCUGCCCGAUAGCAAGGCCGAGUCGUCUCUGGCUGCUGCCCAGCUGACGAGCGCUGUCAUGGAAGAGCGGGGCAGAGACAUGACAAAGGUGACACGUGCCUUGUGUGAGAUGAUGUCAGGACCCCUGUGCCAGGAGGCUGCCCAGGAACUCUUCCCCCAGCUGUUGCUGGUGGCGCUGUGUCGUCUCUACUGGGUGACUGACUGAGCAAAGUGCUCCCCAGAAGAUGGUGGUGUCCAGCCAGAAGGGGGCCCGGGGCAGCGAGAGCAAGUCCUUUGACCCCACUAGAUCCAGGCUUAUGACCCAGAGCAAGAUCACACCCUCAUUCCCUAGAACCCCUCAGACCACAGAGGCCUGACGUCAUCAGCCUGAGGAAAGCAAAAACUACAGCAGUCCUCGAACGAACGUGCAAGCUGUGACCACGAGAGAAAUACCAGAUUGAGAAAUGAGCAGUCCUCUAGAAGAAAAGGUUAAGAACAAACAAAAGAAUAUGCAAUGGGGAGAUGAAACAGACCCUGAACUAGAGGCUUAGUACAGGAGAAAAUAAGGAGAAUAGAAUGAAGGAGAAGAAGAGAAAGAGGAAAAAGAAGAAAUCAAGCUCUAUCACAGGGUUCCUUAACGUCCGCACGACUGCCAUCGGGCUGUAGAGUCUGCGCUGCGGCGGCUGCCGCGUGGAUUGUAGGAUGGUAGCAGCAGUCCCAGUCUCCACCCACAUCGUGCUGGUAGUAACCAGCCCUUCUCCCAGCUAUGACAACUGGAAAUAUCUCCAGGCGUUGCCAAAUGGCCUUUGGGGGAAAAAUUGCUCCUGGUUCAUAAACAAUGAUAACUGGAUAUGUCUCUGCCACAUAUUAAUUUUAAAACAAAACAUUAAAAAUGUAAAAACAUUUCAGCUGGGAGACAGUAUAAAAAUGAACCCCCAGCAGAAUGCAGACUGUAGUUUGACAACCCUUGAUAUAAAAGAAGGAAUACUGUGUCAAUAAAAGACAUAUUCCUGGGAAUGGUGAGGGGAAUGGUGAUACAUAGGCAAAGGUCACUAUUUUUUAAAUAAAUUUUUAUUUUAUAAUA